GAAGUAUAAGCCAACACAUCGUCA
This 24-nucleotide non-coding RNA is filed under the name Arabidopsis thaliana (thale cress). The record is from RNAcentral. Lineage: Eukaryota; Viridiplantae; Streptophyta; Magnoliopsida; Brassicales; Brassicaceae.